RNAcentral lists this ribosomal RNA (491 nucleotides) under uncultured bacterium. RNAcentral's name for it is "partial 16S ribosomal RNA". It matches the Rfam family "Bacterial small subunit ribosomal RNA", at positions 30 to 507 of the family's 1533-position model. The record is from RNAcentral.
AGUGAACGCUGGCGGUAGGCCUAACACAUGCAGGUCGAACGGCAGCACAGUAAGAGCUUGCUCUUACGGGUGGCGAGUGGCGGACGGGUGAGGAAUACAUCGGAAUCUACUUUUUCGUGGGGGAUAACGUAGGGAAACUUACGCUAAUACCGCAUACGACCUACGGGUGAAAGCAGGGGAUCUUCGGACCUUGCGCGAUUGAAUGAGCCGAUGUCGGAUUAGCUAGUUGGCGGGGUAAAGGCCCACCAAGGCGACGAUCCGUAGCUGGUCUGAGAGGAUGGUAGGCCACAUGGGAACGGAGACAGGGACACGGCUCCUACGGGAGGCAGAAGGGGGGAAUAUAGGAAAAGGGGGGCAAGCUUGAACCAGCCAUACCGGGGGGGUGAAGAAGGCCUUCGGGUGGGAAACCCCUUUUGUGGGGAAAAAAAAGAGGCGGUUUAAACCCCCGGUGUUUGACGGGAACCAAAAAAAAAGCCCCGGCUAACUUCGUG